CACGCUGUAAACGAUGGGAACUGGGUGUUGCGGGUAUUGACCCCCGCGGUGCCGAAGCCAACGCGUUAAGUUCCCCGCCUGGGAAGUACGGCCGCAAGGCUAAAACUCAAAGGAAUUGACGGGGGCCCGCACAAGCGGUGGAGUAUGUGGUUUAAUUCGACGCAACGCGAAGAACCUUACCCAGGCUCGAAAGUGCUGGAAGUCGGGUGAAAACUCGAUGUGCCCGCAAGGGAGCCAGUAUCCAGGUGC
This 249-nucleotide ribosomal RNA is filed under the name uncultured bacterium. RNAcentral describes it as "partial 16S ribosomal RNA". It matches the Rfam family "Bacterial small subunit ribosomal RNA", at positions 796 to 1041 of the family's 1533-position model. The record is from RNAcentral.